Long non-coding RNA from Homo sapiens (human), 1931 nucleotides. Ensembl annotates it as long intergenic non-protein coding RNA 1278. Lineage: Eukaryota; Metazoa; Chordata; Mammalia; Primates; Hominidae. The record is from Ensembl.
GGGGCCUGUGCUUCCAGCGGGUGGUGGGGGGCCUGGUGUGCUGGCAUCAAGUAAGCCGACUACCUCGGCAAAGGCUUAGGGACAAGAGACCAGCAGCCUGAACUGGCUGGGGCAUCCGGAAGGCUUAGAUCUUGUGGCCAAGAGUUCAGACCGUGGCGAAGUGGAGAGUGACAUGCAGUUGGAUGGCGGUGACUGCGUGGUAUGGAAGAAAAUUCAGCUGAAAUUUGCUAGAAAAUGAGUUGUUUUGGAAAGAGACUGUAGAGAAAGGCAAAUGGAAGAAGAAAGCUUCUGUGCCCCCACAGAUACCGACUGAAAAGUGUUAGCAUGAGCAAAAGUUCCUAUCUAAUAUUAUAUGCUUUCCUUUGCUCCCAGGUCCUGCAACCCUGGUUCCAGUCUGGCAAGCAUUGUAGACCUGGCUGCUGAAGACUGACGGGGCCCAGGGUCCGCUGCCCCCACCGCCAUCACCACCUCGGAACCCAGGGUAACGCUGUCAGUCUUUGAUGAUGUCAGAAGUGGGAUCCAAAGUAGAGCUUAUAAUGACACCUAGGAGUGCUGAGUGACCAAGCAAGGUACCCACCAGGCCGAUUAUGUCCAUUGUUCUCUUGGAGCAGCUGGUCAUCAUGAUCAGAUCUUCUGAGAACAUCAGAAAAAGACUUCCCUUGCCAUCCACACUGCAGCAAAACUUCAGGACCUUAAAUGCUGGGUUCAUAAUUUCACAACUGAGAAGGGACCCUCCACACUCUUGGAACUGUACACCUAGACCAAACUAAAAUACAGUCACUCUUGCUAAAUGUAACAUAAUCAAACUAAGACUUUAAGGAAACAAGCAAAUCCUAGAAAAGACCAGGUUUUUGUAUUUUUUUUCCUCCUGUAAACAGUACCUUCCAACAUAAGGAGGUACCCUCUACUCUAACACUUACAAAAAUAAUAAGAAUAAUAACCUGGAGUCCUUGUAAGGUGAAACCUUACAAAACCCACUGCUCUGCUGUUUCCUAGUGGGUUUCAAGAGGAAAUAAGUACUUUUACAGUGGUGAUGGUGAAAUCAAUGACUAACAUUUUGGUCAAUCUCCCACAAUUUAGAGAAUGACCAAAACGGGGGAAUUGUUAAAUCAAGUUUAUCCUAAAUUGAUGGGAUCAAUCAUACUCCAAACCUUGACACUGCACAAUAUACCCAUGUAACAAACCUACACAUGUACCUCCUGAAUCUAAAAUAAAAGUUGAAAUUCUAAAAAAUGAAAUUAUUCUGGAGCUUUAAGAUUCAAUGCCUCUCUGCUGGGUUUUAUACUUGCUUAGAACCUCUUACUUCUUUCUUUCUUUGAUUCAUUUCUCCCUUUUGGAAUGGAAAUGUCUAAACUAUGUGCAUUCCACCAUUUUAUCUCAGAACUAAAUAACUUUUUUUAUAGGCUCAUAACUGGACUUUGGUCUUUUAAGUUGGUGCUGAAACAAGUUAAGACUUUAGAGACUGAUGGAAUUAUUGUAUUUUGUAUUCGAGAAGAACAUGACUUUUAGGGGGCCAGGAACAGAAUGCUAUGGUUUGGGUAUAGUUUGUUCUGUUGAAACUCGUGUUGGAAUUUGAUUUCCAAUGUUGCACUGUUGGGAGGAGGAUUCCAGUGGGAGGCAUUUGAGCUAUGGGGGUGAAUCCCUCAUUAAUACACUAAUACCUUUUCAUGGGGAUGAAUGAGUUCUCCCUCUCAUGGGAAUGGACUAGUUUCUAAGAUAUUGUGAUGGCAAAAUAUUCUGGCUCCUUUAGUUUCUAUAUCUUGCUUCCUCUGUUGCCAUGUGCUCCUUUGCACACACACUCUCCUGUUCCUCUUUCCACCAUGAGUGCUAGCCAUACCUUUCCUAUUCCUUUCCUCCUAUAACCUGUCUUGCCAUGCUUCAAGUCUGAAACCCUCAUCAGAUGCAGCUGUCCAAUCUUGAACUUUUCACCC